GCAACCAGAACCGGAACGAACGUUCGUAACCAGAAUCCGAAAUUGCAUUACGAAGUCGUCAAUCGUCGCAGGAAGGUGGAAUCAGCAUCUGCUGCCGAAUUCCUCAGUGGAAUCUCUCGUAAGCGAUGUCGACAAAUGCAUCCCUGACCAGAUGAUUCCUAAAAACUUCAAGCUCCUCACGGGUGCAGUGCGCCACGCCCGCACACUAUUGUAAAGAGGCAAAACUACAAUAAAC
This is a long non-coding RNA of Ornithodoros turicata, 235 nucleotides long. RefSeq lists it as uncharacterized. Lineage: Eukaryota; Metazoa; Arthropoda; Arachnida; Ixodida; Argasidae. The record is from RefSeq and is a predicted model, not a curated record. The transcript has 3 exons.